GAUGAACGCUGGCGGCGUGCCUAAUACAUGCAAGUCGAGCGAACAGACGAGGAGCUUGCUCCUCUGACGUUAGCGGCGGACGGGUGAGUAACACGUGGAUAACCUACCUAUAAGACUGGGAUAACUUCGGGAAACCGGAGCUAAUACCGGAUAAUAUAUUGAACCGCAUGGUUCAAUAGUGAAAGACGGUUUUGCUGUCACUUAUAGAUGGAUCCGCGCCGCAUUAGCUAGUUGGUAAGGUAACGGCUUACCAAGGCGACGAUGCGUAGCCGACCUGAGAGGGUGAUCGGCCACACUGGAACGAAGUCACGGUCCAGACUCCUACGGGAGGCAGCAGUAGGGAAUCUUCCGCAAUGGGCGAAAGCCUGACGGAGCAACGCCGCGUGAGUGAUGAAGGUCUUCGGAUCGUAAAACUCUGUUAUUAGGGAAGAACAAAUGUGUAAGUAACUAUGCACGUCUUGACGGUACCUAAUCAGAAAGCCACGGCUAACUACGUG
RNAcentral lists this ribosomal RNA (497 nucleotides) under uncultured bacterium. Its description in RNAcentral is "partial 16S ribosomal RNA". It matches the Rfam family "Bacterial small subunit ribosomal RNA", at positions 28 to 507 of the family's 1533-position model. The record is from RNAcentral.